RNAcentral lists this ribosomal RNA (909 nucleotides) under endophytic bacterium. RNAcentral describes it as "bacterial SSU rRNA". The record is from RNAcentral.
GMCYUUYCYYUUMWUGGAAGUUUAGCGGCGGACGGGUGAGUAACACGUGGGUAACCUGCCCAUAAGACUGGGAUAACUCCGGGAAACCGGGGCUAAUACCGGAUAACAUUUUGAACCGCAUGGUUCGAAAUUGAAAGGCGGCUUCGGCUGUCACUUAUGGAUGGACCCGCGUCGCAUUAGCUAGUUGGUGAGGUAACGGCUCACCAAGGCAACGAUGCGUAGCCGACCUGAGAGGGUGAUCGGCCACACUGGGACUGAGACACGGCCCAGACUCCUACGGGAGGCAGCAGUAGGGAAUCUUCCGCAAUGGACGAAAGUCUGACGGAGCAACGCCGCGUGAGUGAUGAAGGCUUUCGGGUCGUAAAACUCUGUUGUUAGGGAAGAACAAGUGCUAGUUGAAUAAGCUGGCACCUUGACGGUACCUAACCAGAAAGCCACGGCUAACUACGUGCCAGCAGCCGCGGUAAUACGUAGGUGGCAAGCGUUAUCCGGAAUUAUUGGGCGUAAAGCGCGCGCAGGUGGUUUCUUAAGUCUGAUGUGAAAGCCCACGGCUCAACCGUGGAGGGUCAUUGGAAACUGGGAGACUUGAGUGCAGAAGAGGAAAGUGGAAUUUCCAUGUGUAGCGGUGAAAUGCGUASAGAUAUGGAGGAACACCAGUGGCGAAGGCGACUUUCUGGUCUGUAACUGACACUGAGGCGCGAAAGCGUGGGGGAGCAAACAGGAUUAGAUACCCUGGUAGUCCACGCCGUAACGAUGAGUGCUAAGUGUUAGAGGGUUUCCGCCCUUUAGUGCUGAAGUUAACGCAUYAAGCACUCCCGCCUGGGGGAGUACCGGCCGCAGGCUGAAACUCAAAGGAUCUGACSGGRGSGCCCGCACAGCGGKGAGCCAUGGUGGGCUUUAAUUUCCGAA